AUUGAACGCUGGCGGCAGGCCUAACACAUGCAAGUCGAGCGGAUGAAGGGAGCUUGCUCCUGGAUUCAGCGGCGGACGGGUGAGUAAUGCCUAGGAAUCUGCCUGGUAGUGGGGGAUAACGUCCGGAAACGGGCGCUAAUACCGCAUACGUCCUGAGGGAGAAAGUGGGGGAUCUUCGGACCUCACGCUAUCAGAUGAGCCUAGGUCGGAUUAGCUAGUUGGUGGGGUAAAGGCCUACCAAGGCGACGAGCCGUAACUGGUCUGAGAGGAUGAUCAGUCACACUGGAACUGAGACACGGCCCAGACUCCUACGGGAGGCAGCAGUGGGGAAUAUUGGACAAUGGGCGAAAGCCUGAUCCAGCCAUGCCGCGUGUGUGAAGAAGGUCUUCGGAUUGUAAAGCACUUUAAGUUGGGAGGAAGAGAAGUAAGUUAAUACCUUGCUGUUUUGACGUUACCAACAGAAUAAGCACCGGCUAACUUCGUG
Molecule: ribosomal RNA, 484 nt
Filed under: uncultured bacterium
Lineage: Bacteria
Description: partial 16S ribosomal RNA
Rfam family: Bacterial small subunit ribosomal RNA
Source: RNAcentral